Molecule: ribosomal RNA, 291 nt
Filed under: Newmanella spinosus
Lineage: Eukaryota; Metazoa; Arthropoda; Thecostraca; Balanomorpha; Tetraclitidae
Description: partial 12S ribosomal RNA
Source: RNAcentral
UUGGCGGCAAGAUAGCCCCUUAGAGGAACCUGCCCUAUAAACGAUGAACCACGAAAAACUCUACUUUUUUUAGUGAACAGUUUGUAUAUCGCUGUUGUCAGUUAGAUUCUUGAGAAUAUUUUCAUUCAUGAUAAAUUCAUCGACUUCAAGUAAAGGUGCAGCUUAUAAAAAAGAUAGAGGUGGGUUACAUUUAUAAGAAUAAUACGGAUAAGAUUUAUGAAAUAAUCUUUGAAGGUGGAUUUAACUGUAAAACUUAAGGAAGUUUGGUGAGAGCUCUAUCUUGUGUACACA